UAUUGCUCUUCAACGAGGAAUCCCUAGUAAGCGCAAGUCAUCAGCUUGCGUUGAUUACGUCCCUGCCCUUUGUACACACCGCCCGUCGCUACUACCGAUUGGAUGGCUCAGUGAGACCUCCGGACUGGCCGAGAGAGGUGGGAAACUACCCCUCAUGGCCGGAAAGCUAUUCAAACUCGGUCAUCUAGAGGAAGUAAAAGU
Molecule: ribosomal RNA, 201 nt
Filed under: Huntiella moniliformis
Lineage: Eukaryota; Fungi; Ascomycota; Sordariomycetes; Microascales; Ceratocystidaceae
Description: partial small subunit ribosomal RNA
Rfam family: Eukaryotic small subunit ribosomal RNA
Source: RNAcentral